This 253-nucleotide ribosomal RNA is filed under the name uncultured bacterium. RNAcentral describes it as "partial 16S ribosomal RNA". It matches the Rfam family "Bacterial small subunit ribosomal RNA", at positions 524 to 776 of the family's 1533-position model. The record is from RNAcentral.
UACGGAGGGUGCAAGCGUUAUCCGGAUUUACUGGGGUUAAAGGGUGUGUAGGCGGACUUUUAAGUCAGCGGUGAAAUCUCCGGGCUCAACCCGGAAACUGCCAUUGAUACUAUUGGUCUUGAAUGUUGUUGAGGUGGGCGGAACGGGUCAUGUAGCGGUGAAAUGCAUAGAUAUGACCCGGAACACCGAUUGCGAAGGCAGCCCACUAAGCAACGAUUGACGCUGAGGCACGAAAGCGUGGGGAUCAAACAGG